UGCCGAUGAUCACCAUCCCCUUCUCCUCCUCCAGCUUCUUCCUCUCCCCCGACUUGUACUCCACCACCGAUCCCGUCGCCGUCGAGUUCUCCGACCUGUUCGUUCAUUUCAUCAAUUUUAUACUCGCACCGUCUCAAAAUGACGGAGGGAGUACACGCAGGAAUUCAGAGAUUAAUUAGUUUGUAACGUGACCUUAAUAUGAGCUCGUCCCAGCAGUCGAAGCCUUCCUUGAUGAGAUUGGUGGCGGUGGCGUUCCUCAGCUCCGGCGUGUCCGGCCUGUCCGACAGGAAGACGAUCUUGACGCCGAGGAGGAGCAGCUUCUUGUACAGCGUCACCGUGUUCGGCAACGCCGACGCUCUGCCGGCGAUCAGCCACUCCAUGAACG
Molecule: long non-coding RNA, 385 nt
Organism: Oryza sativa Japonica Group (Japanese rice)
Lineage: Eukaryota; Viridiplantae; Streptophyta; Magnoliopsida; Poales; Poaceae
Source: RefSeq, a predicted model, not a curated record